GGAGAGAGAACAUCUCCACACAUUUUGUCACUUUGCUCUAGUGUCAGAUCAGAUUGACAGUGAUUUAAAGAGAGAGAGAGAAGGGUAUUUUCAUGCAUUUCUCUGUCUUGAAGAGCCCAAACCCCUGCAUUCCAAGAUAGAGAAGAAGUCACGGUCCUCCAGGAUCCUCUAUCAGGACCCAUCAGUCUCAACCUCCCCCUGGCCUACUCAGGUGGGUUCACUUAGACACAUCAAACAGGCUUACACCCAAAACAAAAUAGAAUAAGAUAUUACAACUUGUGUAAUUUUGAUUGUUAAAAAUGUUAAGUUUUGUUAAUUGUAAAAAAAAAAAUGUAUCCUGGCUGUACGUGGUUCCAAAGUUCGUCUGCAGUCCAUUUUGUGAGUGUAUUCAUCAUCAUUUUUUAAAUUCAAUUGAAUAAUGUAUUCUGAAUAUCCAAACAAGUUGUUUUGUAUGGGAGGGCAGCUAUAUUAUCUCUAAGCCAGUCAUCAUUACAGUAAGUAAUGGAUGAAAUUAGGAAGUAUACAGUACUGUACAACUUUCACCUUUUUUCAUUUUGCUUCAUACGUCACAGCCCUAGAUAUGGACAGCACAACAGGAUUCGCCCGGACCCCUGUCAAUCACAACCACACCAACAGCAGCUGUUCCCGUGACAACGUGCUGAAGACUGUGGUGUUUCCUGUUCUCUACUCCCUCCUCUUCCUGUUGGGCCUGUCCCUCAACGGCCUGGCAGUGUGGGUGUUCUUCAGCAUCCCCAGCCGCUCCCACUUCAUCAUCUACCUCAAGAACAUUGUGGUGGCCGACGUCCUCAUGACCCUCACCUUCCCCUUCAAGGUGCUGUCUGACUCCAACAUGGCGUCCGUGGGUCUGCGUGUCUUCGUCUGUCGUGUCUCCUCUGUGCUCUUCUAUCUCACCAUGUACAUCAGCAUCCUCUUCUUUGGCCUCAUCAGCAUCGACCGCUGCAGGAAGACCCUCCAGCCCUUCAAGGGGACCAACGCGGCUCGUCUGUCCCACAGGAAACUGCUCUCUGGGGUUAUCUGGUGCUCCCUGCUGGCCCUCUCCUUGCCCAACAUGGUCCUGACCAGCCGCAGCCCCACCUCAGUCUACUUCAAGUGCAGUGAUCUGAAGACGGCGGCUGGGCUGCAUUGGCAUGAGGUGGUCAACCACGUGUGCCAGGUCAUCUUCUGGGGCAACCUGGUGACGGUGAUAGUGUGUUAUGCCCUCAUCACCAAAGAGCUGUACAGUUCCUACGCCCGCGCCAACGCUUACUGUGCUGGUGGAGCCAGCAGAGCUGGUACUGGUAAAGGACAGCGCCAGCCCCAGAGAAAGACUGUGAGUUCAAACGUCUUCCUGGUGCUGGCUGUGUUCUUUGUGUGCUUCGUGCCGUUCCAUUUCUCCCGCGUGCCGUACACCAUGAGCCAGACGCGGGGACGCAUGUUUGACUGUAACCUCAAGCUGUUCUUCUUCCAAUUAAAGGAGAGUACACUCUGGCUGUCCUCCCUCAACUCCCUCCUGGACCCUCUCAUCUACUUCUUCCUCUGUAAGUCCUUCAGGACCACCCUGUUCAAGACGCUCCGUCUCCCACCUGGGACCUGUAGCUGGCUCACUGGGAGAGGGCCGGACCCCAACACAGGCAGUACCCCUCUGGGAGACUCCUCUGCUUGACUGUAGCGAACUAAAGCUCUCUUCUGAAGGACUUCCAUGUAUUGUGGUCUGAUGAAUGUUUCACAGAGGAUCAUACUGCCCUCUACUGUAAGGCUGACGGAAACAUCAACUGUGUGUUGAUUGUAGCUCUGUCUGGGCAAUGGAAAGAGUAGAGUAGGAAACUCUGCACAGACCAGUGAUAAUUACAAUAAUAUGCAAACCAGUCUGUAACACCAGUCUGUAACACCAGUCUGUAACAUUUUGUAGAAUGUCAUAACCCCCUCUAAAUAACCUCAUGCCAAAGGAAAUCACCUAAUCACCAUGUCUGUCUCAUAACAGCUUAGUUCCCCAUACCGGCAUUCUGCUUUGACCUCGUUCUUUUUUAGGCUUCAGGAACUGAAAUAAGAGAUAUGUAAUUAUGUGUAACCAUGGCACAGCACGUAUGCCUAUAAUGGACAGCAAAACGUCCUGUACUACAUAAACUUGUGAAAUCUAAAUAUUUUUUUCUCUCCCAUUCGUUGAUCCAUGUCUUUAACCAUUCUUCAACAAAACAAUAUGAUACUGAGGGAAAAAUCCCCUGAUUUCUCGGAUGCAUUGAAAGCCAGAUGUGCUGUAUGUUUAGACAGACAGUAUACAACCUUUUAACAGAUGGCCUAAGGGCAGGUGGGAGGGAGGCUGCUACUUACUGCUGUACAGUGACCACAGAGGAACCUAGAAAAACAAGCUGUGAGUGGCCGAAGGCUUUCCGUGGAAGUAGCAAGAUGUGAAACAACACCAGUAAAAACCACACUGCGAAAGACAGCUGAAAGUUAACGUGAAAACAAUAGUUCAUGUGAAAGAAAUGGUGUGUGUGCAUGAGAGAGAGAAACAUGGGAUCAACACGUCUGAUCUUUUAAAUAAUAAUUAGUUCCAGGAUAGAAAAUGUAAAAAAAACACCAACCUCCCUGUGAAAAUAUAACAAACAUACAGAAACUCCCUAACCUGCCGAAUCCAGGUCACUGGUAGGGGAAAUACCAUCUGCAUGGGCAGAUGCUAACAGCAGCAGUUCCAUCAGUCCCAUCAUAUGGCUCAGGUGGUAGAACAUGGCUCUUGCAAUGCCAAAAUUGUGGGUUUGAUUCCUGGGUCACCCACACACAAAAUAUAUGCAUGCAUGACUGUCAGUAACUUUGGAUAAAAUCAUCUGCUAAAUUGCAUGAUAUUGUUAUAUUAUAAGAAGUUUGACAAACAAGGGUGGCUUUUUUUUCAGUUGUGGUCAAAAAGCCAAAGAUAUUGAUAACUAACCCUGUGCGUGAGCUCUUAUUUUACCACUUCCCCAUCUUCAGGAAGUGUAUUAGGUGACGUAACAAACGCAGGCCCAAUACAUCGCAGUAACAUAUCUCACACGAAAGACAUCGUAGUGACUUUCCUCCAUGAUAAGAUGGUUUUUCUCAACUUCACCGAUUCCUCAAAACUAGUAGCCACAAUGGCAUCACAUUCCCCUCCAAAGGACUGUGGCUUUAAUGAAGAUACCUUAAAUAUGGCUAUAUCAAGUCUCUACUUCCUGUUGUUCAUCCCGGCCCUCAUCAUCAAUGGGGUAGCAGUCUGGGUCUGCAUGCAACUUCGUUCAAAGUCCACCUUCAUGGUGUAUCUGAAGAACCUUCUGGCCGCUGACCUUCUCAUGACCCUGACCAUCCCUGUCAAAGCAGCCAAUAUCCUGCCCAGCACUCCACUGACUCUGAAGGCCUUUGCCUGUCGCUACUCUGAUGUUCUUUUUUACCUCUGUAUGUACAUGAGCAUCAUUCUGUUGGGCCUCAUCAGUCUGGACCGCUUCUUCAAGAUCGUCAGGCCCUGUGGCAGGUUGUUGGGUCAGAACAUUGUCUUCGGCAAAGUGCUGGCUGCUUCCAUCUGGGUGGUGCUGUUGUCCACUGCUGUCAUUCCAACCAUGAUCCUGACCAAUCAGGAUCCCACAAACAAGACUAAACUAUUCUGUAUGGCAAUGAAGAGCAAUGCAGGACAAUAUUUCCACAGUGGCGUGGUCAAAUUAAACAACGCAAUCUUCUGGGUGGUGUGUGUUCUUAUUUGCUUCUGCUACAUGUGCAUAGCAAGGAAGGUUUUUCAAUCAUACAGGAAAUCAGGAAGCAGCAAUGACGAAGGGAGGCAUAAGACCAAAGUGCGUGUGUUUUUGGUUCUGGUGGUUUUCCUGACGUGUUUCGGACCCUACCACGCCAUACGGCUCCCCUACACCUUGCUUCAGGUUACCUCAACAACCAGCUGCACUAAGGUCACCUUACAGAUCUCUAAGGAGUUCACCUUGUGGAUGUCAGCCACGAACGUCUGUCUGGACCCUCUCAUCUACUUCUUCCUCUGUAAGCCCUUCAGGAUCACCCUGUUCAAGACGCUCCGUCUCCCACCUGGGACCUGUAGCUGGCUCACUGGGAGAGGACCCAACACAAUAGAGGAUCAGACCCCAACACAGGAGGGAGACUCCUGUGCCUGUACAGAAAAUUAAAACUCUUUGGAAAUAUCUACUUCAUGUUGUAAGAUGUUCUGUUUGACAGAGUAUAAUACUGCUACCUGGUGGAGGGUAAACUAUCCAAAGAGUUAUACUAGAAAGGAAUCCACCAGGUGUAAUGUACUAUCCUACUCUUUAUAUUAGAAAUGCUACGUUACAGCCUUAUUCUAAAACAGAAUAACUACAUUUUUACCCUCAUAAAUCUACACACAAUACCCAAUAAUGGAGGGCCGUACAGGCCCCAUUUAACAUCGGUGUGGUUGUAGUGGAGCGAGAUUCUUGGUGUCCACAUCACCAACAAACUGUCAUGGUCCAAACAUCCCAAGACAGUCGUGAAGAGGGUACUACAACGCCUUUUCGGCGUUGGGUACUCAGAUCCUCAAAAAGUUAUACAGCUGCACCAUCGAGAGCAUCCUGACCGGUUGCAUCACCGCCUGGUAUGGCAACUACCCGGCAUCUGACCGUAAGGCG
Non-coding RNA from Oncorhynchus mykiss (rainbow trout), 4604 nucleotides. NCBI's taxonomy places the organism in Eukaryota, Metazoa, Chordata, Actinopteri, Salmoniformes, Salmonidae. The record is from RefSeq and is a predicted model, not a curated record.